UUUCAAUAUCAGUCAGAGAUUAAAUACUUAGAGUUCUUCAUGUUUAGAGAUUUUCAUGAUUUAGAACCAUAACUGUCGCAAAUGGCAAGCAAUUAUGAUUUCCAGAUGGCAAGUAUGGGAUUUCUACCAUGCAAAAUGGGAUAUCUAACAGACUGGAUGGUAAAAUUAGCCGAAGAUGAAUUGAAUGAAACUGAAGAAACUCGUAAUCAGGCUAUAUCAGAACUCAAGAGUCUCAUACAAGAACUUAAGGAACUGAAGAUCUGGACUGAUGAUGCUUGCCUACUGCAAUUCCUAAGAGCAAAAAAAUUCGAUGUAAAGAGAGCUUGGGAACUUUUACACCAUCUUUUCGUUGUUAAACAAAAAUAUCCUGAAGUUUAUC
This is a non-coding RNA of Parasteatoda tepidariorum (common house spider), 379 nucleotides long. The record is from RefSeq and is a predicted model, not a curated record. NCBI's taxonomy places the organism in Eukaryota, Metazoa, Arthropoda, Arachnida, Araneae, Theridiidae.